RNAcentral lists this long non-coding RNA (2211 nucleotides) under Takifugu rubripes (torafugu). Its description in RNAcentral is "lncRNA (ENSTRUG00000030428.1)". The record is from RNAcentral. Lineage: Eukaryota; Metazoa; Chordata; Actinopteri; Tetraodontiformes; Tetraodontidae.
UAUAAAAGAAUUUUAGAUUGUCCUGUUAAUGUCUAUGUUUCAUGUGUAUUUCUGCUGCAGUCUUUCAGGUUCCUUCAUGAAUGUCAUCAUCUCAUUAUCCUUGUUGAUCUUCUUUGUAAUUUUGUCCUCAUUGAUCUGGUUCUGCAUAAAAAGACAAAGUAAGUCUUUAUUAAUCAAAGUCAUCACAAAUUUUAUUAAAUAAAUGUUCAUUCAAAAUAACCAGACUUUCUAAUCUGACUUGUAGAGCAGAUCCAGGAGGAACCAUCAGCUGAGAUGUUGGUAAGAUUAAACUAGUGUGCAGCAGUUAGACCCAGGACAGAGUUUACAGAUGGAACAUGUGUAAAUGUUGACUUGUUUUGAAAAUUAAAGUGAUAAGAUAAAAGAUUUCAUUUUUCAAAUGUAAAACAGGACAUGGCUUGUCCUGAAGAUGAAGUGAUUUACAGUAAGAUGAAGACAAAACCAGAAUCUUCGCAUCGGCCAUUGUGUUCUGAAAAUGAAGUCACCUAUAGUUCCGUGAGAAUUCCAGAGCAGAGACCCAAGCCAAUGUGUUCUGAGAAUGAAGUCACCUAUAGUUCUGUGAAGAUUCCAGGACGAGAAAGGAGACCCAAGGAGACUACUGACAUAUACAGCAAAUUGGCUAAUAGCCGCAAACUGUAGAGGUUGUCGUUGGUUAUUUCAGGAUGCAAUGUCACAAUGGUUUGAAGCAAACUUUUUUCACUGUGUUGCCUUUGACAGUCUAAAACUUGUCAAAUUAGUGAGUUAACAAGUCCAGAAUGGUGUUUUUUGCAAUGACAGGGUGAGGUAAUAACACUGUUAUUUAACCUUUCAUCCUAAAUCUGCCGUCAUGUGUGUUUUGUUUUCACGGGAUCCCACUAACUUAUACACCAAUAUUUCUCAUCAUCACACAUCCUAGAAUUUGUCACCUCUGCUGGGUUCUUGCUUAUUUCAGGAGAAUUAUAAUUAUAACUUCUGCAGAGUUCCUGGUUAUAUUUCUAUUUCCAUGUUAUUUUAUAUGUUUAUUACCACAGAAAUAUCAACUCAAAUAAACCCAUUUUUCAUGGAGAACACUGAUUUUCCAGGAGUGGACUCAUAUAUUGUUGACAUGUUUCUGCCAUAUUAAAUAACGUUACACAUGUUGGAGGUGAAGAUAAAAUUCAACAUCAUCUUUUAUCUUUAGUCACAAGCUUUGAAGAAGCUCUAAGAAAUGUGGAAGUCUAAAAAAAAGCCCAAGAGAAGUAGAAGAAGAAGCAGAGUUUCUUUUUUUUAUUUUAUUUUUUUAUUGAGCAUCAACAACAUGGAACAUAUACCGAAAGGUCACUAUGCACAUUUUUGUAUUUAAGCCCCCCACAUAAUAAUUAAAGGGCAAACUCAAAGAUAAGAAAGAGGGGGAAGAUUAAUUCAGGUAGACAAGUUAUGAUCCUGUGUUUGGUCUGUGGUUUGGGGUUUUUGUGCUCUGUUUGUCCACUGGGGGGGGGGGGGGGGGGGGGGGGGCAGUAAGUGACCCAUCUGUUGUGCUGGCUGCCUCCACACCUGCAGCUAAUCUGGUCAUUUGGCCUUUUCAGCAACCAGCACAGCUGCCCGGCGUCAGAUCAUUUCGUCUGUACUGGUAUUAAACUGAGUGUUUCUUUGAUGGACUAUUGGGGUUUUUUGCAUUUUACUGUGUCAUUCCUUUUGUUUUAGGUCACUACUGUUCCAAUGAGCACUUCCUUGGGUUUGGCUCAACACUUCCUUCACUGCAGUCACCAUUUAUAGAGCACACUGUGUAAAUAUUUUCUAAAUAACCUGUAGAUCACCAAAGUGGCCUUUUUGUCUGUCUUCUUGGGUCCCACUUGAGUUUUUUCAGAACUUAACAUAUAAUUUUUUUAUAAAAUUUUAAUAGCAGACGAUAUACCCAAUGGCACACCAGAAUGAAUCUGUUCACUAAAGAAGACAUCGUUCACAUAGAUUUAAUAACCAUCACAAAGACAUAUGUAAGAUGACUCCCAAAUGAUACCUAAGUGAGCAAAGUUUCAAGGGUUCCUAAGUAUGUCAACACUGGAUCCCAGACAGAAAACAAUUUGUCCCUGCAGUCCCUGCGAGUACAUCCUAUUUUCUCUAAUUGUAUGAAUUGUGCAAGGUUGCUGAACCACAUAGACACUUUGGGUGGAUUUUUUAUUUCCAAUGCAAUAACAAUCUUCUACGUGCAAGCAGCAUCAUAAAAGCUAUAAUGGU